GCACAAGCGGUGGAGCAUGUGGUUUAAUUCGAAGCAACGCGAAGAACCUUACCAGGUCUUGACAUCCCCUGACAACCCGAGAGAUCGGGCGUUCCCCCUUCGGGGGACAGGGUGACAGGUGGUGCAUGGUUGUCGUCAGCUCGUGUCGUGAGAUGUUGGGUUAAGUCCCGCAGCGAGCGCAACCCCUAUCUCUAGUUGCCAGCGAUUCGGUCGGGGACUCUAGAGAUACUGCCCCGGUUAACGGGAGGAAGGUGGGGAUGACGUCAAGUCCUCAUGGCCCUUAUGCCCAGGGCUACACACGUGCUACAAUGGGCGGUACAAAGGGUAGCGAUGCCGCGAGGUGAAGCCAAUCCCAAAAAGCCGUCCACAGUUCGGAUUGGAGUCUGCAACUCGACUCCAUGAAGCCGGAAUCGCUAGUAAUCGUGGAUCAGCAUGCCACGGUGAAUACGUUCCCGGGCCUU
RNAcentral lists this ribosomal RNA (461 nucleotides) under uncultured Desulfobacterium sp. Its description in RNAcentral is "bacterial SSU rRNA". It matches the Rfam family "Bacterial small subunit ribosomal RNA", at positions 923 to 1382 of the family's 1533-position model. Lineage: Bacteria; Pseudomonadati; Thermodesulfobacteriota; Desulfobacteria; Desulfobacterales; Desulfobacteriaceae. The record is from RNAcentral.